GCUUUAAUAGUUUAACAAAAAUAUCGGUCUUGUAAGCCGAAGAUAAAAAUAAUUUUUUUAAAGCU
RNAcentral lists this transfer RNA (65 nucleotides) under Dixella aestivalis. RNAcentral describes it as "tRNA-Thr". It matches the Rfam family "tRNA". From Rfam's summary of the family: Transfer RNA (tRNA) molecules are approximately 80 nucleotides in length. Lineage: Eukaryota; Metazoa; Arthropoda; Insecta; Diptera; Dixidae. The record is from RNAcentral.